Molecule: long non-coding RNA, 1354 nt
Organism: Canis lupus familiaris (dog)
Lineage: Eukaryota; Metazoa; Chordata; Mammalia; Carnivora; Canidae
Exons: 4
Source: RefSeq, a predicted model, not a curated record
UUCUUUGGCUGGGGCCCUGCAGCUGCCCUAGCAUGCCUGCUGCAAAUCAGCUUGAAGUAAGCUGUCUGUAAGUGCCCUGGUGAGUCAGUCAGGGCCCCUCCUAGGAGACAAGGAAUUCUGAGGUCUUGCAAGCACAUGCCUGCCCAUCUGUGGAACGAUUCCAUGGCUAACCCUCCUCUUGCCUCUGGGAACGCUCCUGACUUUUACCUUGCUCAGCACCCACCAAAGUUCUCUACCUGUAGGAAACAUGCUGUGGGGAACUCCGUGCUGGACGUGGGAAGAACCUCUUUGCUUCUGGUGGUGCUGCUGUGCGAGUGGAGGCAAGGCCAAGAGAGACGGGGAGAUAUCAAAGCUCUUGGGAUGGAGCCAGGUCAACUUCCCUUCAACAAAUCAAUUUAAAAAAGCCUGAGUAAAGCCGGCCAGGAUGAUCAAAUAGCCCUUCAUGAAACAAGACCAACCUAGAAGAGGAAACCAUGGCACUUCCCAUUUGUUUGUUAUUCUAAUGGAUCCCUUCAUGCGCACAAGAGAACGACCCCGAUUAUACAAACCCACCAUUUACAAACUGUCGUUAUUCCCAGUGUCUUCCUGUUGGAGGUUUUCAAUCCCAAAAGAAGUUCCUUAGGUGAGCUUUAAUUUGACUGCAACCACUUUCAGCUCCAAGGAGGACACUUCGAUUUGGACACUGGGUAAUAAAAUAAGAAGAUAAAUGCUCUUGCUCUUGAUACCAGAAUCUAAGCCCACUAGGUACUCUGGCAAAAGGAUAUGGUCAGUGUAAGAUGAGAGGAGCUAAAAUGGAAAGAACCAUCUGCAGCUUCUGGUUCCAAAAACAAUGGGUCCGAGUUCUUUAUCAGUACCGAUCAUCCUGGAUCCUAAAAGCAUUUGAGAAGACGAGACCUGUUUUUUUUCCACCUGGCUCAGGUUUCUCGUAGUGCUGUUUCUAUUUUUCAGCCUAAGAAGAGAAGUCUGCACCUGCACCAGAAGGCUUACACAUUCGACUGCUUGAAGAAAGAGGGACGAACAAAAUAAUCUGUAGAAGAUCUCUUUCACCCUUAGACCCUCUGAUUCUGAAAAUCAGAUACUUUAUGUCUGAUAAAUAUAGUUCACUGGAAAGACUGCUGAAUUUCAUACUAGAAUACCUGAGUUUAAAUGCAGAUUUGGAUUAUGAGUUGAAUGAUCUUCAACAGAUUUAAUUUUUUUCAGCUUUUUUUAAACAGCUUUACUGAGGAAAAUUUACAUACCAUAAAAGCCAGCCAUCGAAAGUAUACAGUUCAAUGAUUUUUAGUAAAUUUAUAGAGUUGUGCAACCCUCGCCACAAUGCAAUUGUAUAACAUUUUAAAUAAAUCUUUAAACUCCA